AAACUCACCAUGAGUGAGUAGUUUGUUUAAUUCUAGGAUUAGGAGAGUAGCACUUUCAACUUCUGUUAUGGAUAUGUACUAAAGUUAUUUAAUGGAUUUAAGUUUUGUUCUUUGAUUCAAUAUUCUGUGUUCUUAAUGUAUGUUAUAUGUUAGUACCCACUUAGUUAUGAUAUAAGAUAUUAAUUGAAUAACUGAAAAGUAAAAAUUAAUAUUAGAAAUUAAGAUUUUGAGCAUAAAAAAUCUGAUCUAGAGAUAAGCUAAAAUCCUUUGUAGAGUCCUAUAAUUAAUAAAAAAACUUAAAGGGUUUUAAUUAAGAUUGAUCGCCA
Molecule: unclassified non-coding RNA, 326 nt
Filed under: Hevea brasiliensis (rubber tree)
Lineage: Eukaryota; Viridiplantae; Streptophyta; Magnoliopsida; Malpighiales; Euphorbiaceae
Source: RNAcentral